Molecule: ribosomal RNA, 301 nt
Filed under: uncultured bacterium
Lineage: Bacteria
Description: partial 16S ribosomal RNA
Rfam family: Bacterial small subunit ribosomal RNA
Source: RNAcentral
CAGCCGCACGGGAACACAGAGGGUGCAAGCGUUAAUCGGAAUUACUGGGCGUAAAGCGCGCGUAGGUGGUUUGUUAAGUUGGAUGUGAAAGCCCCGGGCUCAACCUGGGAACUGCAUCCAAAACUGGCAAGCUAGAGUACGGUAGAGGGUGGUGGAAUUUCCUGUGUAGCGGUGAAAUGCGUAGAUAUAGGAAGGAACACCAGUGGCGAAGGCGACCACCUGGACUGAUACUGACACUGAGGUGCGAAAGCGUGGGGAGCAAACAGGAUUAGAUACCCCAGUAGUCCCUGUCUCUUAUACA